RNAcentral lists this ribosomal RNA (498 nucleotides) under uncultured bacterium. RNAcentral's name for it is "partial 16S ribosomal RNA". It matches the Rfam family "Bacterial small subunit ribosomal RNA", at positions 30 to 523 of the family's 1533-position model. The record is from RNAcentral.
AUUGAACGCUGGCGGCAUGCCUUACACAUGCAGGUCGAACGGUAACAGGUCUUCGGAUGCUGACGAGUGGCGAACGGGUGAGUAAUACAUCGGUACGUGCCUAGUAGUGGGGGAUAACUACUCGAAAGAGUGGCUAAUACCGCAUGAGAUUUACGGAUGAAAGCAGGGGAACGCCACACCUUGAGCUACUAGACAGGCCGAUGGCAGAUUAGGUAGUUGGUGGAAUAAGAGCUUACCAAGCAGACGAUCUGUAGCUGGUCUGGGAGGACGAUCAGCCACACUGGGACUGAGACACGGCCCAGACUCCUACGGGAGGCAGCAGUGGGGAAUUUUGGACAAUGGGCGCAAGCCUGAUCCAGCAAUGCCGCGUGCAGGAUGAAGGCCUUCGGGUUGUAAACUGCUUUUGUACGGAACGAAAAGCCCCGGGUUAAUACCCUGGGGUCAUGACGGUACCGUAAGAAUAAGCACCGGCUAACUACGUGCCAGCCGCCGCCGUAA